This 494-nucleotide ribosomal RNA is filed under the name uncultured bacterium. RNAcentral's name for it is "partial 16S ribosomal RNA". It matches the Rfam family "Bacterial small subunit ribosomal RNA", at positions 28 to 507 of the family's 1533-position model. The record is from RNAcentral.
GACGAACGCUGGCGGCGUGCCUAACACAUGCAAGUCGAACGGAAAGGCCGGCUUUCCCUUGUGGGUUGCGGGUACUCGAGUGGCGAACGGGUGAGUAACACGUGAGUGAUCUGCACUCAAGUUGGGAAUAAGCCUGGGAAACUGGGUCUAAUUUUCGAGAGGACGGCAGGGGGGUGCCUGUGGUGGGAAACGAUUUGCGAGUGGGUGGGGAUAGGCUUGCGGCCUAUCAGCUUGUUGGUGGGGGAAUGGCCUACCGAGGCGGCGACGGGGAGCCGGGCUGAGAGGCUGGACCGUCGCGUUGGGGAUGGGCUCCCGCCCCGGGUCUGACGCGAGGCCGCGGUUGGGAAGAGUGCACGCGGGGCGGAAGCCUAGACCAGCGACGCCGCGCGGAGGAUGCCGGGCUUCGGGUUGUAAGCUACUUUCGGCCGCGGGGAAGCCACCUGGUUGGGAGGGUGGUGACGGUACUGGUAGAAGAAGCCCCGGCUAACUACGUG